RNAcentral lists this ribosomal RNA (567 nucleotides) under uncultured bacterium. Its description in RNAcentral is "partial 16S ribosomal RNA". It matches the Rfam family "Bacterial small subunit ribosomal RNA", at positions 355 to 912 of the family's 1533-position model. The record is from RNAcentral.
UGGGGAAUAUUGCACAAUGGGCGCAAGCCUGAUGCAGCCAUGCCGCGUGUGUGAAGAAGGCCUUCGGGUUGUAAGGCACUUUCAGCGAGGAGGAAGGUGGUGAGCUUAAUACGCUCAUCAAUUGACGUUACUCGCAGAAGAAGCACCGGCUAACUCCGUGCCAGCAGCCGCGGUAAUACGGAGGGUGCAAGCGUUAAUCGGAAUUACUGGGCGUAAAGCGCACGCAGGCGGUUUGUUAAGUCAGAUGUGAAAUCCCCGGGCUCAACCUGGGAACUGCAUUUGAAACUGGCAAGCUAGAGUCUCGUAGAGGGGGGUAGAAUUCCAGGUGUAGCGGUGAAAUGCGUAGAGAUCUGGAGGAAUACCGGUGGCGAAGGCGGCCCCCUGGACGAAGACUGACGCUCAGGUGCGAAAGCGUGGGGCAGCAAACAGGAUUAGAUACCCUGGUAGUCCACGCUGUAAACGAUGUCGAUUUGGAGGUUGUGCCCCUUGAGGCGUGGCUUCCGGAGCUAACGCGUUAAAUCGACCGCCUGGGGAGUACGGCCGCAAGGUUAAAACUCAAAUGAAUUG